RNAcentral lists this ribosomal RNA (253 nucleotides) under uncultured bacterium. RNAcentral's name for it is "partial 16S ribosomal RNA". It matches the Rfam family "Bacterial small subunit ribosomal RNA", at positions 524 to 776 of the family's 1533-position model. The record is from RNAcentral.
UACGUAGGGUGCAAGCGUUAAUCGGAAUUACUGGGCGUAAAGGGCGCGCAGGCGGCACUCUAAGUACGAUGUGAAAUCUCUCUGCUCAACGGAGAGGGUGCAUUGUAGACUAGGGAGCUAGAGGACGGUAGAGGGUGGUGGAAUUGCUGGUGUAGCGGUGAAAUGCGUAGAGAUCAGCAGGAACACCCGUGGCGAAGGCGGCCACCUGGGCCGAUACUGACGCUGAGGAGCGAAAGCGUGGGGAGCAAACAGG